Molecule: transfer RNA, 71 nt
Filed under: Kouleothrix aurantiaca
Lineage: Bacteria; Bacillati; Chloroflexota; Chloroflexia; Chloroflexales; Roseiflexaceae
Rfam family: tRNA
About the family: Transfer RNA (tRNA) molecules are approximately 80 nucleotides in length. Their secondary structure includes four short double-helical elements and three loops (D, anti-codon, and T loops).
Source: Rfam by way of RNAcentral
CAGGCAGUAGCUCAACAGCAGAGCGUCGGCUUGCCAAGUCGAAGACGAGGGAGCGUCACCCUCUUGCCUGA